Molecule: ribosomal RNA, 264 nt
Filed under: uncultured bacterium
Lineage: Bacteria
Description: partial 16S ribosomal RNA
Rfam family: Bacterial small subunit ribosomal RNA
Source: RNAcentral
UACGAAGGGGGCUAGCGUUGUUCGGAAUUACUGGGCGUAAAGGGCGCGUAGGCGGCGUGUCAAGUCAGGCGUGAAAGCCCGGCUCAACCUGGGAACCGCGCUUGAGACUGGCAUGCUCGAGUUCGGGAGAGGAUGGUGGAAUUCCCAGUGUAGAGGUGAAAUUCGUAGAUAUUGGGAAGAACACCGAUGGCGAAGGCAGCCAUCUGGACCGACACUGACGCUGAGGCGCGAAAGCGUGGGGAGCAAACAGGGAUUAAGAAACCC